Molecule: long non-coding RNA, 929 nt
Filed under: Triticum aestivum (bread wheat)
Lineage: Eukaryota; Viridiplantae; Streptophyta; Magnoliopsida; Poales; Poaceae
Description: long non-coding RNA (TAES_LNC015989)
Source: RNAcentral
CCACACAUAGCCCGUCACAGAUGAUCCGGCGUCCCUGAUGAGAGCACUUGCUAGGUUGUGUGUGUGUUUAAAAACCUCUAGUAUUCUAAUCCUCUGCGUUUGCAUAUAGUAGCCCAAAGGAACCUGCCCCUCUUCCCUCUCUCUUACGCUUGUGUUUUGUUUGUGCUACUAGCUAGCUAGCAGCUCGGCUCAUCGCGGGACAUGAAGAAGGAUGAAGAGGAUGCCAAUGCCACAAUCCCCUUCAAGCCCCCGCCAUCCCCUCUCCACCAUGGCUGGUCGCUCCGUAUGCCGCGGACGCCGCUCCGGUGACCUCUUCGUCCCGGUCUUCGUCUUCGUCUCUGUCGUCGUCUCGGUUCUUCCGCAGGGCAAAGGCAUGGAGGCAUCCGUGCAAGCUUAGCUCAGAAAAAUGGUGGAGAGUUCUGUAUUGGCAUGCGGGAAAGCCAGGCAAUUUUUUUCCCUCAGUUCCGACUUGUUUCCGCUUUCCUCUCCUUGCUAAUUGCUGUCCUUGUUCUUGCUGCGAUAGGUCGCUUCGUUCGACCUUCAGACUAUUUGUAUCUCGUUUAGUUGCGAAUUUUAAGGCCAUCCGAUCCAUCGAUGUUAUAUAUCAUCAAGAUCGAUAUGGCCAUUCAGAUUCUAUAUAAUUAUGUGUAACUAAAUUCAUCCUUUAGCAUGCAUGAGGAUUAACUAGGUGAGUGUUUAUAUGCUACAGCCAGUGCUUGCAACUCUAAUCCUUUGCAUUUGCAUUUGAGAUUUAGUCUUCCUGAGCUAUAUAAUAUUGGAACGCAAUGCAGAUAGAUACAUCAUCUGUACUACUGGUUUGUCCAUCUCAUUUGAUCUCAAUUAAAUUGUGAGUAAUCAUAGAGGAUCUGCAGGGCAGUCGAUCAUGAAUAGAUUUGCUUUACAGUGCAAACUGGAGAUGUUCGUCCUUG